AUCCCAUGAUGAGGAGACUUACGAAGCAAUUCUUUGAAUCUUUCCCAUGCUUCAUAUAAAGACUCGUCAUUUAAUUGUUGGAAAGUGGUUAUCUCAUUUCGUAACUUU
This is a non-coding RNA of Gossypium hirsutum (cotton), 108 nucleotides long. Lineage: Eukaryota; Viridiplantae; Streptophyta; Magnoliopsida; Malvales; Malvaceae. The record is from Rfam.